GUUCAUUAUGUUUUCUUAACAAGUUGGUAAAUUUUUAUGUUAUUUGAAAGAGGAAUUCAAGCCAAUACGAGGGAAAACUGUGCUUUGCAUACAAAAACAAAGAGUUUUCAGCUAUGGACAAGCAGUCAAAUAUAUAGGCUUGGAUCAGGUUAACUAGUUAAGUAAGAUUUCCAGAUUCUUAAGCUGAAAAAACUAGAUUCAAGGAAGCAAUUCAGUUGCCUCGAAAAAUGAAGGGUCAGAACGUUUGUGGUGUUUAUGAAGCUCUCCGUUUGGAUGAAAACCAAGUAAAAUACUAAAGAUGUUAGAGAUAAGAUGUUAGCUGUUAGAGAAGCUGAAGCUUUUUGAACACAAGACGACCACUUGAUAUUCCCUCGUCACUUCCUUUUAAGGUAAUUCAAUCUCUUUGU
Molecule: RNA transcript, 407 nt
Organism: Arabidopsis thaliana (thale cress)
Lineage: Eukaryota; Viridiplantae; Streptophyta; Magnoliopsida; Brassicales; Brassicaceae
Exons: 5
Source: RefSeq